AACUUUUGACAACGGAUCACUUGGCUCUCGCAUCGAUGAAGAACGCAGCGAAAUGCGAUAAGUAAUGUGAAUUGCAGAGUUUCAGUGAAUCAUCGAAUCUUUGAACGCACCUUGCGCCCCUUGGUAUUCCGAGGGGCAUGCCUGUUUGAGUGUCAUCAAAUCCUCAACCCCCUCCGAUUUGUUUCGGUGGGGAUUGGACUUGGAGGGUGCUGGCGAAGGUCGGCUCCUCUUUAAAUGCAUCAGAGGAGAAAAUGCCUUGUGCGCCUCUGGCCUUUCAGCGUGAUAAUGACGAUACGAUGCGGUCGAGCUCAAGGUCCGCUUCCAAAGGUCCUCGGACGAACGUAAACAUGACUUUUGACCUCAAAUCAGGUAGGACUACCCGCUGAACUUAAGCAUAUCAAUAAGCGGAGGCU
This 413-nucleotide unclassified non-coding RNA is filed under the name uncultured Tylospora. RNAcentral's name for it is "sequence contains ITS2". The stretch from base 1 to 155 matches the Rfam family "5.8S ribosomal RNA". Lineage: Eukaryota; Fungi; Basidiomycota; Agaricomycetes; Atheliales; Atheliaceae. The record is from RNAcentral.